Molecule: long non-coding RNA, 999 nt
Organism: Octopus bimaculoides (California two-spot octopus)
Lineage: Eukaryota; Metazoa; Mollusca; Cephalopoda; Octopoda; Octopodidae
Source: RefSeq, a predicted model, not a curated record
AUCGCCAUCAACAUUAAGACUCAUUGCAAUUGUUUCUGAGUUAAGUGAACACCUUCUGCGCCCUUAGGAGUUUAAUAUGAAUUCAUUAUGGUUUGAAAAUGACUCCAGUAACAUAUUACGCGAACUCACGAAGUUCACAUUCAUAUCAUGCACAAGUCGCUCGCCACAAUCUGUAUUGAAUAGUCGUGGAAGUAUUAAUGGUCAUGAUAAUGAUGAUGCUGGUUUAUACACGAACUUUGUGGAGAAGACUGCAGACAGUAGGCGGGAGGAAUUUGUACUUCAGUUCAAUUGCUUUUUCCUUUGAUUCAUAAGAACCGUUGGGCUGUUUUUCCUAUAGUUUAGUUGCAGGUUGGAUGAAUGAUAACAUGUUUCUUCAUUGUUCACUUUCACCAAAAACCGUAUUCACCUUUCUCAAAGAAACGAACGAGACUAAAAGAGAGAGAGAAAAGACAACAGGAUAUUAGAAGAGCAAUAAAGGAUAUUGAUGGAACAACGAGUGGGGAGUGGGUACCUCCUCGAAUCUGAAAAUAUCAGUGUUAUGAAUUAAAUUAUGGAAGUGUAAUUUCCUUGCAUUUAUUUUGCAUGGUUUUUGGUGUGAAACUGAUGUUGUACUUUGGGAAACAGUAAAUCUAGUUUGUGACUGUGGCAAUCCUGGAGCAGUGGAGGGUAAGUCACUGAUGAGGUCCCAAAGUGCGACGAAAGGACUCUGAUAAGGCAGCAGAUUUACUUAUCAAACGAUUGACCAAGCCAUUUGUUUUAUUACCAGCACAUAAUUUAUGCACCUCACCCCCUCAUACAAAAGGUAAAUGGAAGAUUCUGCAUAAUCUGAACUUAGAACAUAGAAAUAUGAAAUAUGAUACAGAGAAUUAACCAAGUUAAGAAGGGACUCGUAGCAGGUCACUCAGCCCGUCAGAAGUAGCAGUCAAAUUAUACCCAACCGUUUUUAAAAAGGGACACAGAAUAAUGAACUUUUUUGGAGAAUUUCAAGAAAACAGAAUA